RNAcentral lists this ribosomal RNA (253 nucleotides) under uncultured bacterium. Its description in RNAcentral is "partial 16S ribosomal RNA". It matches the Rfam family "Bacterial small subunit ribosomal RNA", at positions 524 to 776 of the family's 1533-position model. The record is from RNAcentral.
UACGGAGGGUGCAAGCGUUAUCCGGAUUCACUGGGUUUAAAGGGAGCGUAGGUGGGGUGGUAAGUCAGUGGUGAAAUCUCCGGGCUUAACUCGGAAACUGCCGUUGAUACUAUCAUUCUUGAAUAUUGUGGAGGUAAGCGGAAUAUGUCAUGUAGCGGUGAAAUGCUUAGAUAUGACAUAGAACACCGAUAGCGAAGGCAGCUUGCUACACAAUUAUUGACACUGAGGCUCGAAAGCUAGGGGAGCAAACGGG